Cynocephalus volans (Philippine flying lemur) is the source of this 2656-nucleotide RNA transcript. It is a transcript of the gene named zinc finger C3HC-type containing 1, with no coding region annotated. The transcript has 12 exons. Lineage: Eukaryota; Metazoa; Chordata; Mammalia; Dermoptera; Cynocephalidae. The record is from RefSeq and is a predicted model, not a curated record.
GGCAACGGACCAAGAUGGCGGCGCCCAAUGAGGGGCAAACGUUUGCUGCGGGGGUUGAAAAAACUUGGGGUGCAGUCGUUCGCUCCCCAGAAGGAACCCCCCAGAAAAUUCGGCAGCUGAUCGAUGAGGGGAUUGCCCCGGAAGAGGGAGGCGCGAAUGCGAAGGACACAUCCGCCACAUUCCAGUCAGCUAAUGGAUCACCCCAGGCAGAACAACCUCCAUUGGAAUCUACAAGCAAAGAAGCCUUCUUUAGCAGAGUGGAAACAUUUUCUUCUUUGAAAUGGGCAGGUAAGCCCCCUGAGCUGUCUCCACUUAUCUGUGCAAAAUAUGGCUGGGUCACAGUUGAAUGCGAUAUGCUCAAGUGCUCCAGCUGUCAAGCUUUUCUCUGCGCCAGUUUACAACCAGCUUUUGACUUUGACAAAUAUACGGAACGAUGUGCUGAGCUGAAGAAAGCCUUGUGUACUGCCCAUGAGAAGUUCUGUUUCUGGCCAGACAGCCCCUCUCCAGAUCGAUUUGGGAUGUUGCCAUUGGAUGAGCCUGCUAUUCUUGUUAGUGAAUUCCUAGAUCGUUUCCAAAGCCUUUGUCACUUGGACCUCCAGCUUCCUUCCCUGAGGCUGGAAGACUUGAAAUCUAUGUGCUUGACAGAAGACAAGAUCAGUCUUCUCCUGCACCUGCUCGAAGAUGAACUUGAUCACCGAACUGAUGAGAGAAAAACUGCAAUCAAAUUAGGCUCAGAUAUCCAAGUCCAUGUCACUGCCUGUAUUCUCUCUAUGUGUGGCUGGGCAUGUAGUUCUUCUCUGGAGCCCAUGCAGCUCUCCCUGAUAACAUGUUCCCAGUGUAUGAGGAAGGUGGGGCUCUGGGGCUUCCAGCAGAUUGAGACAUCCAUGACUGACCUGGAUGCGUCAUUUGGCCUAACCACCUCCCCCAUCCUAGGCCCUGAGGGGCGGUCAGAGCGCUUCCCACUGGUGCCUGAAUCCCCUCGGAGGAUGAUGACCCGAAGCCAGGAUGCCACUUUUUCCCCAGGCUCAGAGCAGGCUGAGAAGAUCCCAGGUCCUAUUGUCUCCCGAACUCGGAGCUGGGACUCUUCCAGUCCCGUUGACCGUCCUGAGCCAGAGGCUGUUAGCCCCACCACCAGAACCCGCCCAGUGACCCGAAGCAUGGGAACAGGAGACCCGACUGGCCUGGAGGUACCAUCUAGCCCUCUGCGGAGAGCCAAGCGAGCUCGCCUCUGCUCUUCCAGCAGCUCGGACACAUCUUCCCGAAGCUUCUUUGAUCCUACCUCUCAGCACAGAGACUGGUGCCCCUGGGUGAAUAUCACACUUGGCAAAGAAACUAGGGAGAAUGGUGAAACUGAGCCAGAUGCCAGCACCCCCACACAGCCGGGCUGGAAGGCAGUGCUAACUCUCCUUUUGGCCCACAAACAGUCUAGCCAGCCGGCUGAAACAGACUCCAUGAGUCUCUCUGAGAAAUCAAGGAAGGUAUUCCGAAUAUUCCGGCAGUGGGAAUCCUCAUGUUCAUCCUGAAGAUGUUCCAGCCCCUUCCUGGAGAGAAUUGGAAUGAGUGACUUUUUGUUUUUUUGGUUUUUGUUUUUGGCGGCUGGCUGAUAUAUGGAUCCAGACCCUUGACUUGGUUGUUACAAGGCUGCACUCUAACCGACUGAGCUAACCAGCUCGCCCACGAAUGACUUUUUGGAAAAUAAAGUCUGAAUUCCUUUUGGUCAGCUGAUGUUAAACUUUUCUCCAUUCUGGUUUCACAAUAAGGAACCCGAGCCAUUGCAAAGGCAGUGAUUGUCAACCAUCUGCAUCUGACUGAGGGGAGACCCUUUUCCAUGUGGGGAUGUGGACAGGGUAAGGCACAGCAAGUCCAGUUCUGUUCAAGGAGCACGGAGCUAUGAUACUAUAUGAAGGACCAAGAAUUUGAGCACCCAUCUCAGCAUCUGUAGUGUGGGGCAGUGUUCUGAGGUCUCCUCUAUCCCAGGAAUAUGACAGGAUGUGUUAAUAAAAUAUUUACUAAGAUUCUUACUGCUGGAAAACUGUUAUCUUCCUUGCCCUGCAGGCUAGAGAAAACUUCAGUGGAACAGUCAACAAGGUCAGAGUUUGGUUUUCAGUUUGGCUGCAAAGCCUGAAAUUUAUUUGUGAUUCCAGUCAAAGAUGUAUAAUCUGUCUUAAAACAGAGGCAAGAUGAUUUUCAUUGUGUCACCAGGAGAUCUGGUGUGUUAUAGAGAACGGUCUCUCCUAAACCAACUUAAGCUCUUUGAAGCUGAAGCUGAAUGGUUUCUGCCAUAAGCUAUUCCAGUGAUGGAAAAAGACCGAAAGCACUAAGACAGUCAAUAGGGAGAAAAAAAUGAAGAAAAUGGAGAGAAUGAAUAUUUACUGAGGAGUUAGAGAAAGGAAAAAAACUGCCUAAAUUUAAAGUCCAGGCCUGCAGUUGGUGCCUGCUCUGCCAACUGAAGAGCAGGAGGUUUGGGCUGUAGGGCUGGGCCCCAUCUCUGAGCUGCUGCCCACUGAGCCAGAGCAAGCAGCAGAGGCUGGUGGACUGUGGUGGAUGCCAGAACUGGAAUUAACGCUGCGGAACAGGUCACCACAUCUGAGGCAAGUAAAGCAAGCCUUUGAGAAUUCUGAUACUUGCCUCCUCGAUUGCCCAAGUGGGAAUUUAG